UGGCCCAUAAUUCAUACGCUCAUGCUCUUCCAUAAUACCUACCCUAUUAAUACUAUCUGCAACCUAAAAUACAGGGUACACAAUCAGCCGCAUAAACAAUGGGUCUGGUCAAAAAAGAAUCAGCCAUUUCCAUGGCUUCCUCUUAAAGAAGCCAACCCCCAUUUCCAUUACAAAAGGAACCAAAUUCCUAACACCUGAAAAACCAACGAAAUUUUCCAGAAAAUCACCCCAAAAUCAACCAUUAACCACCCCAAACUCCUGCUGAAAAUAAGUUCAAAACUCGGCUAAAAAACUGAUGAAAAACAGCCCUAAAACCAGUCUUUCAACAGCAUCAAAACAACCCUGAAUUAGCCCCCAAAUCACGCCAAAAAUCAAUUGAAAAUUAGCUACAAAACCAGCUGAAAAUUGUCUCAAAACCAGCACAAAAUACAGCUGCAACGCAGCUGCAAAACAGCUCCAGAAUCCUCCAUUAAUCCCAUUGAGGUCUUGAGCUCGAGGUUGUCGCUGACGAGGUUUCCGUUCAACAGCUCCGGUUCAGUUCGCGAGAGAGCUGUAUCCAACCGCAGGACUAAAGCAUAUUUCCUGUCGUGUUGAAUGUCAAGGAUAGAGAAAAAUCAAGUUUAUUGCAAUAGCAGGUAAAGUUUUUUUUAUCUCAAAUAUAUAAAGUUUGCAGGAUAUUUAAUUCUCAUUGGUGUUUAUUGAAUGUGAUAAUUACAUAGGGAUUUGAUUUAAUUUUGAAAUGCAUAAUUUUAUAUAUUAUUGGGUUAAGGACUGUAAAACAAACGUAUAUGCAUUCCUAUGUGAUUAUCACAUUCAUAUUCCUUCUGAUUCUUAUGUAAUUACCACAUUGCUUUAAUUUUUGAGUUUUUGACAUUACUUGGUUGUUAAAGUUCUGAUUGAAUAUGGGAUUUACUGAUGACGGCCUUGCAGUUUCGAAAUUAGUUGAUAAAAUAACUAAUCUUUUAGAUGAUGCCAAUUUGAUUCCUAAGUGACAUUUUUAUAUGGAAACAACAUGGGUAGUGCUAAAUUAGUGAUUUGCUGGAUUUUAUGAUUUAAUUUAUAAAUAUGGGAAUUCUGUUGGAUGCGUAGUUCGCAUUAGUUGAGUAAGAUCUUUUGAAAUAAAUGUAGGUGUGUCAUUCACGAAUAAAAUCCCUAAAUCCAUGACCAUCACUUAAUUAUUUUAAUUCUUUAGAAAUCGAGGUGUGUGAUCAGUUGAAUUUUUUAUGGCCCUCGCAAACCUUGUUAUUAACUUGGAAGUGUUUAGUUGCUUUAGGCGCGCUAUUAAAAAUUACCUUCCUAAACUCGGGUGUGCAUUUAUGUGACCCAAAUCCAAAUCUCAACGAUGUUAAAAUAAGUCGAAAAUCGCGGGUACAUUUAUGUGACGUGGUUCAAGACGUGUUUUGAUAACGUCGCAAAUAUUCAUAAAAAAUAAAUAAAGUGGUUAAUAAUUUUAAAAUUGCACCAUAGGAUGAACAUGUAUGAAAAUCAGAUUAUUAAGCCAUUUAUAAUAGUUUAAGCGACCGUCCUAGAACCACGGAAUCUGAGGGUGCCUAACACCUUCCCUCGGGUUAACAGAAUUCCUUACUCANNNNNNNNNNNNNNNNNNNNNNNNNNNNNNNNNNNNNNNNNNNNNNNNNNNNNNNNNNNNNNNNNNNNNNNNNNNNNNNNNNNNNNNNNNNNNNNNNNNNNNNNNNNNNNNNNNNNNNNNNNNNNNNNNNNNNNNNNNNNNNNNNNNNNNNNNNNNNNNNNNNNNNNNNNNNNNNNNNNNNNNNNNNNNNNNNNNNNNNNNNNNNNNNNNNNNNNNNNNNNNNNNNNNNNNNNNNNNNNNNNNNNNNNNNNNNNNNNNNNNNNUUCCUCAAUUUGGGAUUUAAAAUAAACCGGUGACUUGGGACACCAAAAGCCAAACUUAUCCCAAGUGGCGACUCUGAAUAAAUAAAUGAUCUCAUUUCGAAUAAUAUCACUUAAAUUGGAAAAACUCCCUUAUACAUUAUCUUCUUCGGGGUAGCCGUAUAAAAAAAGAUGUGUGACAGCUCCGGCGACUCUGCUAGGGAGUGAACCCAGAAUCUCUGGUUCAGGGUUCAAGAAGUCGAUCUUAGUAUAACUAUUAUAUUUGGCUUUAUCUGAUUUCAUUACAUGUUCCAUGCCAUAGAUGCUAAAUGCUUUACCGCUUUAAUAUUGGAUGAAAUAUAUAUAAACUGUUACGAAACCCUUCCCUUCUUAUCUUGGGGGAUGUGCUCGCUUGUCGAGACUCCCUAUUCUGUUAGUGUCAUACUUUAAAAAUAAGAACGAGGCUCCGACAAGUUACAAAGCCGGACGAUCUUGCGGGUCCCCGGUACGUAGCCCCCUCCUCGACUCGAGUUGAAAUAAGAAAGAGGCUCGAAUAAGUUACAAAGCCGGAUGAUCUUGCAGGUCACCGGUACGUAGCCCCCUCCUCGACUCGAGUUGUCCGCUCGAGUGCACAGUCUAGACCCUAUACCAAGGUUGUGUCCAUCUAAGACAGGUGACCCGAAAUGAAAAGACUAUCUUGAUGCAUAUUACGUGCUACUUGCGCAUUUAUUUUGCUCUGGAUUCGCAUGUUGAUCGGCUAGUAAAUAAUGAGAGAAAAUUGAGAAAAUAGCGGUAUUAGGGCUUAAUGAGAGUAACCACUUGUUUCGCAAAACCAAUAUCCAAAUAGCACUGAUAAUGUUGCCGGAUUUUUGAGAAAAGAUAAAAAAAAGAAAAAAAACAAGGAAAAAGGGACUUGUUUAACAAAUUUUGGUUUGACAAAAAUACUUUCCCGAACUACGUGGGACUGAUUGUCACUAGAUGUGAGAUACGUAGGCAAACCUCAUCGGUUCCGAGCCCAAUUUUCAAAAAUUAAAAAAUAUUUUCUUUUAGCAAGCAAAUGAAUUUUUUUAGAAGCUUCUCUUUCAAAAAUAAAACAAAAAUAAAAAUCAAAAACAUCAAAAUCAAAAAUUUUCUUUCUUCUUCAAAAGUUCAAAAAAAAAAAAAGAGUUUGUAUAUUUACUCUAUUUCAAAAACAAAAAUAAAAACAAAGCCAAAACAAAAAAAAAUUCAAAAAGUAUUUUCCUUUAUUUCUUUAGAAAAGUUUUUGUAAGAACCCCAAUUUUCAAAAAGCCCCCAAAAAAAGAAAAAAGAAUUUAUUCUUUAGAAAAGUUUCUCUUUAAGCCACCAUUUUCAAAAAAAAAAAAUAUUUUUUCUUAUAAUUUUUCUUGAAAUUCCAAAAAGAGAAUAAACCAUUUUCAUUCGUCUUUCGAAAUUCAAGAUUCAUAAAUAUCUCCCCUUUUAUUUAGAAAGUAUUUCUUUCAAAAAGUUUUAAAAAAAUCCAAAAUCCAAAAAUAUUUUUCUUUCUUCUUUAGAAGUUCCUCUUUUAAAAUUUCAAAAAUAUUNNNNNNNNNNNNNNNNNNNNNNNNNNNNNNNNNNNNNNGAAGUUCCUCUUUUAAAAUUUCAAAAAUAUUUCUUUCUUCUUUCGAGAAUUGAAUUGAAAAUUCGAGAUUCAAAAAUACUUUCUUUUUCCUUAGAAGUACUUCUUUCCUAACUUCAGAAUAAAAAUAUAUAAAUGCAAAUAAAAUAUUUUUCUUUCUUCCUUAAAUUUUUUUUUUUCGAACUUCCAAAAAAAUAAAAAUAAAAGUCGAAAUUCAAAAAAAAAAUUUCUUCUUUUGCAAAAAUGUUGAAGAAAAAUCAAAAUCCAAAAAUAUUCUCUUCCUUCUUUAUAAGUCUUUCUUUUGAAAAAAGUAAAAACACAGAGAAAGUUCGAAAUCCAGAAAAAAUAUAAAUUUUGUUUAUUUCCUCUAUUCCUAAUCUUCCCGAACUGCGCAAGAUCUGAUUCAUGCGGCGUCAUGAUACGUAGGCAACCUACAUCAGGUUCGAUCAACCAUGGAAAAGGGAAAUGAGAAAAAAAAGAAGGGUGAAAAAAUAUUGAUGAUAAUAAAGACCGACUUGAGUCCAUUCUAACAUGUCUUUUAUUUUGAAUUGUGAAGAAAGUUGAGGUGGUCGGCUUGUGGCAAGCAGACAUCACAGGAGUCGAGGAAAAGUGAUAACUGACAGUGAAGCUGUUACAAGUGCUCAAGAGACCGAGGGUUAGAGGGUUCUACAAGAGUCCACUGUGGCUGAGGAAAAUAGAAUACUGAAACAGCAAAUGACCAAAAUGUGUUAAGCAUGGGCCGAUGGCUAAGGAGAACCUUGUCAUGAGUCACAAUUUGUUACACAGCAAGAGAAAUCCCACUCUCCUGAAUACCACUCGUACCUAUUUGAUCUUCCUGCAAAGAUUGAGAAGCCCGCCCAAAAGAUGGUACCGGAAGAUAUAACCCAAAGGGUAAAAAGCUUAGAACAACGGUUGAAAAACUUGCAAGGGUUGGCGGGUCAAAAGAGUGUUGCCUUCAAAGAUCUAUGUAUAUUCCCAGAUGUCCACGUACUGCCUGGUUUCAAGAUUCCCAAAUUUGAAAAGUAUGAUGGACAUGGAGACCCCAUUGUCCACCUGAAAAGGUAUUGCAAUCAGCUGAGAGAUGUGGGAAGAAAUGAAGAAUUGCUAAUAGCUUAUUUUGGGGAAAACCUCACGGGAGUAGCAUUCGAAUGGUUUUUGGAUCAAGACACUUCUCACUGGUAUGUUAGGGAUGACAUGGCACAUGCCUUUGUCAAACAGUUCCAAUACAACAUUGACAUUUCCCUAGACCGCAAUUCUCUUUCAAACCUGAAGAAGAAACCAAGUGAAGCGGGAGUAGCAUCUAAAUGGUUUUUGGAUCACGACACUUCUCGCUGGUACGUUUGGGAUGACAUGGCACAGGCCUCUGUCAAACAAUUUCAAUAUAACAUUGACAUUGCUCCAGACCGCAAUUCGCUUUCAAACCUGAAGAAGAAACCAAGUGAAAGUUUCAGGGAAUAUGCCAUCAGAUGGAGAGAGCAAACAACCAGGGUUAAGCCACCCAUGGAUGACCACGAGCUAAUCACUGUCUUCCUUCAAGCGCGAGAGCCAGAUUACUUUCAAAACAUGAUAUCCUCAGUUUGAAAAUCCUUUUCGGAAGCAAUCAAAAUGGGAGAAACGGUCUUGAGACAUGCAAAAUAUUAAGUCAAGCAGUUCUUAAAGCCGCAACUCAGGCUGUCCAGGUUGAAUCUGACUAUUUUAGUGACAUAAAUGAGAAAGAUGAAGAAAUCAUGAUGACAACAGGGUCGAAGAGGUCCCAGGAGAACACCUUGAAGGUAUGCGCAGCCUCAUCAGGUUUUCCAUGACUCCUCUGAGCAUUACUAUCCACCUCAGAACCCGCCAUAUUCUGUUGAUCCACCACAAUAUGUUGUCCAACCACCAAAUCACCCAAGAAGGUGAGCACGAGGAUCACAAAAUCUCCACCAACCUCCACAAAAUUUUCAAGUGCCUUAUAACCCACAUCCAACCCAGGGGUAUAGAAGGGAACAAAAGUUAAAAUACAAUUUUACACCAAUAGGAGAGUCAUAUGCAAGUUUACUUGAGAAGUUAAAGCAUUAUGGCAUGAUUGCACUCAUUCCUCCAAAUCAUGUGGACCCACGUGCAAGAAACUUUGACCCUUCUAAAAGGUGUGAAUACCAUUCCGAUGUCCGGGGGCACGAUAUUAAAAGUUGUCGGGAUUUGAAAAGAGAAAUAGAGAGGAUGAUCCAGGAAAAACUUAUUGAUCUCCAAGAUGGCAACAUUCAAAAUAUCGCGCAGAAUCCUUUACCUACACAUGAUGAUGCACACUUUGUAGGGAUGAUGCCUGUUGACAUAGAAUAUGAGAAUCCUCUCUGGAACUCGCCGACUGAAAUUGGAGAAGGCUCUGUUGAUUCUAAUGAGCAUUUUUGCGGCUAAAUGUCAAGCCUAGCAAUUGAAAAGUCAUUCCCUCCUCACUAGGAAGGAAUCUUGGUAGCUUGUUUUGAUGUUUUUCGAUUAUCUGGGUUAUUUCAGGGUUGUGAUCCAGAUUUUACUUGUUCAAACCCUUCUAUCUUUAACCCUUUCAUCCUUUACUCAAUAAAAUACAUUUUGUGUCAUUUUGUUCUAAGUUCUUUUCGUGCUAGUUCUAAUAACACGAAAUGUAUGAGGAAAUUUUGGCCAGAUCUUAGAAACUGAUUUAACCUGGAAUUGGAUAACUGAAAAAAAACACACUUUUGAGGAUGAAUAAAGAGUUGAGAUACUUGGGAAUUAGGGUCGUGUAAAAUUCACCUUCAAACCAUUAUGAAGGUCGGGAUUGAGGAUUUCCCCUUACUCAAUAAAAUACAGUUUGUGUCAUUUUGUUCUUAUUUCUUUUCGUGCUAGUUCUAAUAACAUGACAUGCAUCCGGAAAUUUUGACCAGAUCUUAGAAACUGAUUUAACUUGGAAUUGGAUAACUAAAAAAGAGAGAAACACUUUUGAGGAUGAAUAAAGAGUUGAAAUACUUGGGAAUUAAGGCCAAAGGUGAAUGGACUUGAGGAUGUUUUUUCAAUUGAAGUAUGUUGGAAAGCUUGACAUUAAGGGAUGAAAAAUGUCUUAUGACCACGACACACCAAGAAAUUAAACAUAUUCACCAAUGCUGUGAUCGUGAAGAGAUAACAUGAUAGACAUUCUCGAGGCUGGGAGGCCCUUUUUUUGCUAUCCAAACACUUCCUACCACUUGUCUCCCUUUUGAGCAUGUGUUAUUUUCUUUGACUACCCUCUUUUGGAAUCAAGUUUAGAGUCAAGAGUCGAAAAGAAAUGGAAAAGAAAAACAAAGAGAAAGAAAGUCCAUGUCCCAAGAGUAUAAAAUGUGGCAGCUUUUAGAAAGUUCUAAGCGAAAAAAAAGAAAAGAAUUUUCAAAGGUCCAUGCCCUCAAAAAUAGAAGCUGGGGCAAACAAAAAAAAUGUGAAAAAAGCAAGAAAAAAAAAGAAUUUAAAAAAAAAAGAAAACAAAAGAAAACAAAAGAAAAAUGAAAAGAGAAACAGAAAGAAAGAUGAAAAAUAGUUUAGAUUAGAGGUUUGAACUACGUUCGACCUGAUUCCUUUUAAGGAUACGUAGGCAACCUCACGGUUCGGUCCAACCAAAUAAGAAUUCAAAAAAAAAAACGAAACAAAAGAAAAAUCCAAAAAAAUCCCCAAUAGCUGAAAUUGGGGCAGAGAUUUUAUUUCACUUUUGAAAAAGUGGAUUCCAUGAGUUGUAAGUCUACAACUCCGAAUUUUAAGUCUACUUUGAACCUUCAUGCCGACCCCUCUUUCCAACCAUAUCCAAGAUCCCCCAAAUAAAGACCUCCCGAUAUGCUUUCAAGAAUGGCAAGAGAAGCAUGCAAUGAGUAACGGUUGUCACGAGACAUAGAACACUGUCAAGAUACUCGCAUAAGAAAAGCGAAAAGAAAAAAAAAGAAAAAUAAAAAUGAGAGAUUCUUACUAGUGAAAACCCUCACGGGCACUGUAAGGCGAUGGUGAGAAGAGAUAAAUAAAUGAGAGAGUCUUGUUGAUGAAAUUUCCUCGGGGGCGCCACUAGUCGAAAGUGAGUCAUGAAGCUGAUGCAAUGGAUUGGCACGAACAAGCCCGACUUCAAAGGUCAUAAUAAUGGGUAAAAGGGAAGAUUAGAUUAGUUUAAUAAAUCAAGCCAUUGAGUCCAAAAUGCAUGUCAUGAUCAUUAAGGCUAGUUAUUGAAAAAAAAAAAAAGAGGGAAAAAAGGAAAAAUUCUUUCUUCUGUCCUUCCGACAUGGGGCGUUUCUUGUCAAUAUUCAUUUCUUUGCAUCAUUGUGUACUUCUCUCUGAGUUCAUCCUUGUCAAAACAAACAAGAAAAGAUUUUAAAAUCUGUUACCAGCUUUUCAGUUGCACAAAGUAAAUUUGGCCAGCGCACUCAACAUUUACUGUCAGCAUGCCUUGAGGAUUCAUGCAAGGGCUCCCCCAAAAAACUCUUGUCAGCCUGCUUGGCGCAAGCAAAGACAACUUGUGAUUCUCUCUAACGGACAAAUUGCUCAAAAAGCAGAAAGUCAUUGAAGAUAUCAAAAAAGGUCACUUGAGCCAAGAUCUCCAAUCAGGGCAGGGUCGAUUGAGCCUCAAAUACAAAUGGUACUGGGUGCGAAACAAUCAGAGUUGGCGGAGAACAAAAUUCUCUUAAGACCGACUCAGGCUGAUCGAGCAAAAGCCAAGCCGCUUAAGACUCAAGGCCACAAACCGACCACUAUUUUUUAAAACUGACAAAUUGUUCUUUGUUUGCAGCAAAAACAAAGCAGCGUAAGGAAAGUGGUUAAAAACGAACAAAAACAACCAAAAAAAGAGAGAAGAAGAAUAGAGCCGACAAAAGUAAGUUUCUCAAACCUUGGUAUUUAUUUGUCUGCAUGGGCACAAAAUCUUGCCAUUGAUCUUCACAUUUUUUUCCUCCUAGGAUAAAAAGUCCUAGUCUAAUGGAUUUUUCUCCAAAUCAAAAUCUUAGUCUGAUGAAUCUUUCUCCUAGGAUAGAAGACCUAGUCUGAUGAACUUUCUCCUAGGAUCAAAUUAUUAGUCUGAUGAAUUUUUCUCCGAAGAUACCAAAACAAAGUGACCUAGUCUGAUGAGCUUUUUCCUAGGAUCAAAAUCUUAGUCUGAUAAAUUUUUCUCCUAAGAUAGAAGAACUAGUCUGAUGAACUUUCUCCUAGGAUCAAAAUCUUAGUUUGAUGAAUCUUUCUCCUAAGAUANNNNNNNNNNNNNNNNNNNNNNNNNNNNNNNNNNNNNNNNNNNNNNNNNNNNNNNNNNNNNNNNNNNNNNNNNNNNNNNNNNNNNNNNNNNNNNNNNNNNNNNNNNNNNNNNNNNNNNNNNAAAAAAAAACCUAGUCUGAUGAACUUUCUCCUAGGAUCGAAAUCUUAGUCUGAUGAAUCUUUCUCCCAAGACACCUAAAAAUGACCUAGUCUGAUGAAUUUUCUCCUAGGAUAAAUAUCUUAGUCUGAUGAAUCUUUCUCCUAAGAUAGAAAACCUAGUCUGACGAAUUUUCUCCUAGGAUAAUUCAAAAAAACCUAGUCUGGAUCAAAAUCUUUAUCUGAUGAAUCUUUCUCCUAAGACAGAAAACCUAGUCUGACGAAUUUUCUCUUAGGAUAAUUCAAAAAAAUCCAAAAUCAUGGUAGCAUAGGACCUUUUCCCUUUUAUCCCUGCAUAACCCGUGGACCUCCUCGGCAUAACCCGAGGAUCAUCUUUCCUUUUCCUCCCUGGCAUAACCCGAGGGUCUUUUCUUUUCCUCCCCAGCAUAACCUUAGGGUCUUUUUCUUUUUUUUCCCGGCAUAACCCGAUGAUCAUUUUCUUGCUAUCCCCAGUAGAACCCUUUUCCUCCUAUCCCGACAUAAUCCGCGGAUCCCCCUGGCAUAACCCAGGAGCCUUCUUCUCCCGGCAUAGCCCGUGGACCCCUUGGCAUAUCCUAGGAACCUUUUUCAUUCAUUCCGGCAUAACCCGCGGAUCUCCCUGGCAUAACCCAGGAAUCUGUUUCAUCCCGACAUAACCAGUGGCUUUUUCCUUUUAUCCCCAGCAGGGACCCUUCAUUCCCAUCCUGACAUAACCUGUGACCCUUCUCUUACCCCCAGCAGGGACCCUUUCUCCUUCCCAGCAUAACCUGGUAAUCUUUCCAAAAUCAAGGAGAUAGAAAAAUCAAGUUUAUUGCAAUAGCAGUAAAGUUUUUUUUUAUCUCAAGUAGAUAAAGUUUGCAGGAUAUUUGAUUCUCAUUGUGUUGAAAACACGUUCUCAAACAAAACGUGUGUUGAUCUGUGUAGGUUUUGAUAACUGACAAACCAACAAGCUUGGAACGCUAACAGUCAAGCACAAGAGAAACAAGGACAAGAUCAAGAGAAGAUAUGAAGCAAUGAAAAUAAAUGAAGACCUUUUGUUGAGUCUUAUU
This 9786-nucleotide long non-coding RNA is filed under the name Nicotiana benthamiana. RNAcentral's name for it is "long non-coding RNA (NBEN_LNC030050)". Lineage: Eukaryota; Viridiplantae; Streptophyta; Magnoliopsida; Solanales; Solanaceae. The record is from RNAcentral.